RNAcentral lists this long non-coding RNA (1688 nucleotides) under Triticum aestivum (bread wheat). RNAcentral's name for it is "long non-coding RNA (TAES_LNC008817)". Lineage: Eukaryota; Viridiplantae; Streptophyta; Magnoliopsida; Poales; Poaceae. The record is from RNAcentral.
CUAGGUUCUAGUUUGGAGUAUUACCUUUUGUCAGCUUAAAGUGACCUUACUACUUCAUGGCCAUCAAACUAACUUUUAAUCUCAAGAAUCAGUGCGCUGACUGAAGUACACGGGCUUCUUGCAACCUGUCCAGAUGGACAAAAUGAGACGCUACUAAAAGCGCAGCGAUAACAAACUUGUCCCGAGCAUUCAGAGAGGGAGUGAUGAUCUACAUCUACAUGAUGGCCCUGGAAGAUCAAAUACAGUAGGCUACCAAGGAUUGGGAACAUGGUAUGAUUCGUUUUGAUGCUUUAUUGUUAAGUGAACUAUCUUAGUUUUAGUACUGGAAUAGAACUGUCUAAUACUCUAAUUGUGUCAUUUGGGUGUGCUGGAAUAGGCCCAUUUCUUGGCGAUUCAAUCUAUCUUGAGAAAAAAAAAAGGUAGCAACAGUUUCCACAUCGUAGUCCCAAAGUCUCUCAAGUCCAUCUUCUACCCGCGAAGAAAAUCGUCACACUCACCGGCCGAGUAACCGUCAUCAGGACUGAGCAGUUGCAAAGACCGAAACUUAAGCAAUAACACAUGCCGACUACAUGAACCACAGUAGGAACUUGUUGCAAGGGGCGGGACAAAACGCACACUUAACCAAUGUCAGGCAGGGCCUGUGAACAAGCUGAUGAAAAUCUGCCGCGGAGCCACCAACAGCAAGGAAGAAGAAUCCAACACUAUGCUCAAUUCCUUUUAAAAAAAACUAUGCUUGAUUAGAAAGAAACUUAUCUGGCCCUAGCUAUAAAUGGGUGUGGAAAGCCCCCAUCCCGCUGAAAAUCAAAAUUUUCUUGUGGCAGCUUUUUCAGAAUGUUGUGCUUACAAGAGAUAAUCUGCGCAUUAGGAAGUGGCCUGGGAACCCUACAUGCUCUUUUUGUACAAGUGUGGAAACAGCGAACCACUUGUUCUUUACUUGCCCGCUUGCCCGCACGGUUUGGGGCGUGAUGGGGAUGACAGUUGGAUCCUCUUGCUGUCCUCGAUCGCUUUGGCAAAGUUGGGCUUGGCUAUAUAAGUUCUUUCCAGGAGGAAAGCAGUUCUAUAUGAUGAUUAUUGCUGCCAUAUGUUGGGGGAUUUGGAACCUCCGCAAUAAAGUUACUUUUGAUAAACAUGUUGAUCGCACUCCGCUGGAGGCUGUUUUCACUGCAUGUUCGUUUAUGUUAUAUUGGGCAGGUUUGCUUAAAGGAGAAGACAAGGUGAAGCUCCAGGCUAUUGGCUCACGCGGCUGCUACCCUGGCAGACAGAUCCUUCCCUCGUGGCAGACUCCUCUUAGGAGACAAUGACGGGAUCCAGAUCGGCUAGCUGGGUGCAUUACUGAUGUCUUUUGGUCCUGUUUCCCACUGGGGUUUGAUGCCCGCUGGACUUGUUCAUCUUGGUAGCAUUUUGCUUCGGCGUCUUUAUCAGUAGUUUCAUCAUUGAACUCUCUUAGUUGGGCAGUGGCUUGUAAAUGUCAUCAGGUUUUCGCCCCAUGGCGGAUGGUCCGCUUUAGGAUCAUCGGGCGGUGGGUUUCCUGAUGAUGCGCCAACUCGCUUCUCCCCUUUUAGUCUCUUUUUGCUUAUCUCAUUUGGGUUCUAGUUCCUUGUUAGUAAGUGGCUGAAUGACAAAGACUUGAUAAUAGACUGAUGUAUUUCCGUUGAUUGCAAAAUUAAUGAAAAGGGAUGUGAGCCCGG